This 2066-nucleotide ribosomal RNA is filed under the name human gut metagenome. RNAcentral describes it as "bacterial LSU rRNA". It matches the Rfam family "Bacterial large subunit ribosomal RNA", at positions 363 to 2419 of the family's 2925-position model. The record is from RNAcentral.
GGUGAUAGUCCCGUACACCAAAAUGCACAGGCUGUGAACUCGAAGAGUAGGGCGGGACACGUGGUAUCCUGUCUGAAUAUGGGGGGACCAUCCUCCAAGGCUAAAUACUCCUGACUGACCGAUAGUGAACCAGUACCGUGAGGGAAAGGCGAAAAGAACCCCGGCGAGGGGAGUGAAAAAGAACCUGAAACCGUGUACGUACAAGCAGUGGGAGCACCUUCGGGUGUGACUGCGUACCUUUUGUAUAAUGGGUCAGCGACUUAUAUUCUGUAGCAAGGUUAACCGUAUAGGGGAGCCGCAGGGAAACCGAGUCUUAACUGGGCGUUAAGUUGCAGGGUAUAGACCCGAAACCCGGUGAUCUAGCCAUGGGCAGGUUGAAGGUUGGGUAACACUAACUGGAGGACCGAACCGACUAAUGUUGAAAAAUUAGCGGAUGACUUGUGGCUGGGGGUGAAAGGCCAAUCAAACCGGGAGAUAGCUGGUUCUCCCCGAAAGCUAUUUAGGUAGCGCCUCGUGAAUUCAUCUUCGGGGGUAGAGCACUGUUUCGGCUAGGGGGUCAUCCCGACUUACCAACCCGAUGCAAACUACGAAUACCGAAGAAUGUUAUCACGGGAGACACACGGCGGGUGCUAACGUCCGUCGUGAAGAGGGAAACAACCCAGACCGCCAGCUAAGGUCCCAAAGUCAUGGUUAAGUGGGAAACGAUGUGGGAAGGCACAGACAGCCAGGAUGUUGGCUUAGAAGCAGCCAUCAUUUAAAGAAAGCGUAAUAGCUCACUGGUCGAGUCGGCCUGCGCGGAAGAUGUAACGGGGCUAAACCAUGCACCGAAGCUGCGGCAGCGACACUAUGUGUUGUUGGGUAGGGGAGCGUUCUGUAAGCCUGCGAAGGUGACCUGUGAGGGUUGCUGGAGGUAUCAGAAGUGCGAAUGCUGACAUAAGUAACGAUAAAGCGGGUGAAAAGCCCGCUCGCCGGAAGACCAAGGGUUCCUGUCCAACGUUAAUCGGGGCAGGGUGAGUCGACCCCUAAGGCGAGGCCGAAAGGCGUAGUCGAUGGGAAACAGGUUAAUAUUCCUGUACUUGGUGUUACUGCGAAGGGGGGACGGAGAAGGCUAUGUUAGCCGGGCGACGGUUGUCCCGGUUUAAGCAUGUAGGCUGGUUGUCCAGGCAAAUCCGGAUAAUCAAGGCUGAGGUGUGAUGACGAGGCACUACGGUGCUGAAGUAACAAAUGCCCUGCUUCCAGGAAAAGCCUCUAAGCAUCAGGUAACAUCAAAUCGUACCCCAAACCGACACAGGUGGUCAGGUAGAGAAUACCAAGGCGCUUGAGAGAACUCGGGUGAAGGAACUAGGCAAAAUGGUGCCGUAACUUCGGGAGAAGGCACGCUGGUGUGUAGGUGAAGUCCCUGCGGAUGGAGCUGAGACCAGUCGAAGAUACCAGCUGGCUGCAACUGUUUAUUAAAAACACAGCACUGUGCAAACACGAAAGUGGACGUAUACGGUGUGACGCCUGCCCGGUGCCGGAAGGUUAAUUGAUGGGGUUAUCCGUAAGGAGAAGCUCUUGAUCGAAGCCCCGGUAAACGGCGGCCGUAACUAUAACGGUCCUAAGGUAGCGAAAUUCCUUGUCGGGUAAGUUCCGACCUGCACGAAUGGCGUAAUGAUGGCCAGGCUGUCUCCACCCGAGACUCAGUGAAAUUGAACUCGCUGUGAAGAUGCAGUGUACCCGCGGCAAGACGGAAAGACCCCGUGAACCUUUACUAUAGCUUGACACUGAACAUUGAGCCUUGAUGUGUAGGAUAGGUGGGAGGCUUUGAAGUGUGGACGCCAGUCUGCAUGGAGCCGACCUUGAAAUACCACCCUUUAAUGUUUGAUGUUCUAACGUUGACCCGUAAUCCGGGUUGCGGACAGUGUCUGGUGGGUAGUUUGACUGGGGCGGUCUCCUCCUAAAGAGUAACGGAGGAGCACGAAGGUUGGCUAAUCCUGGUCGGACAUCAGGAGGUUAGUGCAAUGGCAUAAGCCAGCUUGACUGCGAGCGUGACGGCGCGAGCAGGUGCGAAAGCAGGUCAUAGUGAU